This 573-nucleotide unclassified non-coding RNA is filed under the name Colletotrichum sp. MN141CCo3m2. RNAcentral describes it as "partial contains ITS1, 5.8S ribosomal RNA and ITS2". The stretch from base 202 to 355 matches the Rfam family "5.8S ribosomal RNA". Lineage: Eukaryota; Fungi; Ascomycota; Sordariomycetes; Glomerellales; Glomerellaceae. The record is from RNAcentral.
AGGAUCAUUACUGAGUUACCGCUCUAUAACCCUUUGUGAACAUACCUACAACUGUUGCUUCGGCGGGUAGGCCGUCCCCUGAAAAGGACGCCUCCCGGCCCGGACCGGACCCCCCGUGGGGCCGGACUCGGCGCCCGCCGGAGGAUAACCAAACGCUAUUUUAACGACGUUUCUUCUGAGUGGCAUAAGCAAAAUAAUCAAAACUUUUAACAACGGAUCUCUUGGUUCUGGCAUCGAUGAAGAACGCAGCGAAAUGCGAUAAGUAAUGUGAAUUGCAGAAUUCAGUGAAUCAUCGAAUCUUUGAACGCACAUUGCGCCCGCCAGCAUUCUGGCGGGCAUGCCUGUUCGAGCGUCAUUUCAACCCUCAAGCUCUGCUUGGUUUUGGGGCUCUACGGUCGACGUAGGCCCUCAAAGGUAGUGGCGGACCCUCCCGGAGCCUCCUUUGCGUAGUAACAUUUCGUCUCGCACUGGGAUCCGGAGGGACUCUUGCCGUAAAACCCCCCAAUUUUUCAAGGUUGACCUCGGAUCAGGUAGGAAUACCCGCUGAACUUAAGCAUAUCAAUAAGCGGAGGA